This is a small nucleolar RNA of Quercus robur (English oak), 86 nucleotides long. RefSeq annotates it as small nucleolar RNA snoR53Y. The transcript has a single exon. Lineage: Eukaryota; Viridiplantae; Streptophyta; Magnoliopsida; Fagales; Fagaceae. The record is from RefSeq and is a predicted model, not a curated record.
GUUCCCUAUGAUGUUUCUGUAUGAACCAUGCUAAUGCUGAUAACUCCGUGAUUGAUCCUUUCUCUAUUCAUUUAACUGAGGGAAUU